Long non-coding RNA from Esox lucius (northern pike), 775 nucleotides. The record is from Ensembl. NCBI's taxonomy places the organism in Eukaryota, Metazoa, Chordata, Actinopteri, Esociformes, Esocidae.
CAGCAUUGAACUAGAUCUUCAGUUUCCUGACAAUUUCUCCCAUGGAAUAGCCUUCAUUUCUCAGAACAAGAAUAGACUGAUGAAUUUCAGAAGAAAGUUUGAGCAUGUAAUUUAAUUAGCCUUUUAAAAUAAUAAAGUUGGAUUAUCAAACACAAUGUGCCAUUGGAACAUGGGACUGAUUGUUGCUGAUAAUGGGCCUCUGUGCACCUAUGUAGAUUUUCCAUUAAAAAUCUAUCAUUUCCAGAUGAUCUGUGAUGCUGCCUGCAUCUUUACCAAUGUGGAGGCAAAGUGGCCUGGGUCCGUCCAUGACUCCCGAGUUUUAAGGUCCAGUACCAUUUCCCAGCGACUAUCACAAGACAAGGGUUAUGCCUGUGAGACAUACCUUCUCACUCCCCUUGCAGACCCUCAGACAGCAGCACAGCAAGGAUACAAUCUUGCCCAUGCAAGAACAAGGGCCUGAAUUGACAUGGCAUUUGGCCUUCUCAAGUCACGAUUUCAGUGUCUCCACCACCUGAAGGUCACCCCAGACAGGGCCUGUGACAUUACUAUAGCCUGCACGGUCCAACACAAUAUUGCCUGUCUGAGAAAGGAAAGGGGUCCAGCAGUGGCACCGGAGAUUGAGUGGGACAAUGCAGCUAUAUUCCCAGAUGACAUUAAUGGCAGGCUGGUCAGAGACCAAUACAUUAUUUCAGAUGAGUGAUUUCAUUGUCUUGUCCUUCUCCAAUAAAGGAUUGUUUGUGUUACUCCUUAAAUAGGCCUAAUGUUUUGUUCGAUA